This 245-nucleotide ribosomal RNA is filed under the name uncultured bacterium. RNAcentral's name for it is "partial small subunit ribosomal RNA". It matches the Rfam family "Bacterial small subunit ribosomal RNA", at positions 26 to 285 of the family's 1533-position model. The record is from RNAcentral.
AGAAUCAACGCUGGCGGCGUGCCUAACACAUGCAAGUCGCACGAGAAAGGGGAGCAAUCCCUGAGUAAAGUGGCGCACGGGUGAGUAACACGUGAAUAAUCUACCUCCGAGUGGGGAAUAACUGAGAGAAAUCUUAGCUAAUACCGCAUAACACUUACGAGUCAAAGCAGCAAUGCGCUUGGAGAGGAGUUCGCGGCCGAUUAGUUAGUUGGCGGGGCAAUGGCCCACCAAGACGAUGAUCGGUA